CUACGGAGGGUGCGAGCGUUAAUCGGAAUUACUGGGCGUAAAGCGUACGUAGGCGGUUGGUUAAGUUAGAUGUGAAAGCCCCGGGCUUAACCUGGGAACUGCAUUUAAAACUGGCGAACUAGAGUUGAGCAGAGGGGAGUGGAAUUUCAGGUGUAGCGGUGAAAUGCGUAGAGAUCUGAAGGAACACCAGUGGCGAAGGCGACUACCUGGACUCGAACUGACGCUGAGGUACGAAAGCGUGGGUAGCAAACGGGAUUAGAAACCCUAGUAGUCC
RNAcentral lists this ribosomal RNA (274 nucleotides) under uncultured bacterium. Its description in RNAcentral is "partial 16S ribosomal RNA". It matches the Rfam family "Bacterial small subunit ribosomal RNA", at positions 523 to 796 of the family's 1533-position model. The record is from RNAcentral.